This 1413-nucleotide ribosomal RNA is filed under the name Raphidiopsis curvata CHAB3413. RNAcentral describes it as "bacterial SSU rRNA". It matches the Rfam family "Bacterial small subunit ribosomal RNA". The record is from RNAcentral. Lineage: Bacteria; Bacillati; Cyanobacteriota; Cyanophyceae; Nostocales; Aphanizomenonaceae.
UUUGAUCCUGGCUCAGGAUGAACGCUGGCGGUAUGCUUAACACAUGCAAGUCGAACGGGAUGCUUAGGCAUCUAGUGGCGGACGGGUGAGUAACGCGUGAGAAUCUGGCUCCAGGUCGGGGAUAACAGUUGGAAACGACUGCUAAUACCGGAUGUGCCGAAAGGUGAAAGAUUUAUUGCCUGGAGAUGAGCUCGCGUCUGAUUAGCUAGUUGGUGGUGUAAGGGACCACCAAGGCAUCGAUCAGUAGCUGGUCUGAGAGGAUGAUCAGCCACACUGGGACUGAGACACGGCCCAGACUCCUACGGGAGGCAGCAGUGGGGAAUUUUCCGCAAUGGGCGAAAGCCUGACGGAGCAAUACCGCGUGAGGGAGGAAGGCUCUUGGGUCGUAAACCUCUUUUCUCAAGGAAGAAGAAAGUGACGGUACUUGAGGAAUAAGCAUCGGCUAACUCCGUGCCAGCAGCCGCGGUAAUACGGAGGAUGCAAGCGUUAUCCGGAAUGAUUGGGCGUAAAGGGUCUGCAGGUGGAACUGAAAGUCUGCUGUUAAAGAGUUUGGCUUAACCAAAUAAAAGCGGUGGAAACUACAGAACUAGAGUGUGGUAGGGGCAAAAGGAAUUCCUGGUGUAGCGGUGAAAUGCGUAGAUAUCAGGAAGAACACCGGUGGCGAAAGCGUUUUGCUAGACCAUAACUGACACUGAGGGACGAAAGCUAGGGGAGCGAAUGGGAUUAGAUACCCCAGUAGUCCUAGCCGUAAACGAUGGAUACUAGGCGUGGCUUGUAUCGACCCGAGCCGUGCCGGAGCUAACGCGUUAAGUAUCCCGCCUGGGGAGUACGCACGCAAGUGUGAAACUCAAAGGAAUUGACGGGGGCCCGCACAAGCGGUGGAGUAUGUGGUUUAAUUCGAUGCAACGCGAAGAACCUUACCAAGACUUGACAUCCUGCGAAUCCUGGUGAAAGCUGGGAGUGCCUUCGGGAGCGCAGAGACAGGUGGUGCAUGGCUGUCGUCAGCUCGUGUCGUGAGAUGUUGGGUUAAGUCCCGCAACGAGCGCAACCCUCGUUUUUAGUUGCCAGCAUUAAGUUGGGCACUCUAGAGAGACUGCCGGUGACAAACCGGAGGAAGGUGAGGAUGACGUCAAGUCAGCAUGCCCCUUACGUCUUGGGCUACACACGUACUACAAUGCUACGGACAGAGGGCAGCAAGCCAGGGAUGGCAAGCGAAUCCAGAAACCGUAGCUCAGUUCAGAUCGAAGGCUGCAACUCGCCUUCGUGAAGGAGGAAUCGCUAGUAAUUGCAGGUCAGCAUACUGCAGUGAAUUCGUUCCCGGGCCUUGUACACACCGCCCGUCACACCAUGGAAGUUGGUCACGCCCGAAGUUAUUACCCCAACCGAAAGGAGGGGGAUGCCUAAGGUAGGACU